Molecule: small RNA, 2393 nt
Filed under: Pan troglodytes (chimpanzee)
Lineage: Eukaryota; Metazoa; Chordata; Mammalia; Primates; Hominidae
Description: processed transcript
Source: RNAcentral
AUUGCUUUUUCAGAUAAAUCUGAACAUUCUUCGAUGCUACACCAAAACUUGACAAGUGUUACUUUCUUCAAGGUUAUUAGUAUGAUGUGGAAUCUGAAGCCAUGUCUGUGACUUUUUGAACAUUGUUUCACUAAAACACAUCAGUCUCUGUUGUACUUUGAAUGGAUUUUGUGAUAUCAUGCAUGGAUUGUUUGGAAACCAUUUGCUGAGUGUUGCAGAGCUUCCAAAUGUUGGCAUAUUGCAUUGUACACUCACAAAAAAAUCACAUUCAUUUCUUUUCCUGAUGAUCUCAUUGGAAAAGUCUGUAAGUAUUUGCAGAACCAUGAAGCUCUGGUUGGCAGAUGAAAGUAUUCCACAAUUAUAGUUUUUGCCUAAAAGCCUGUAUUUUAUCAUUGACAGUAACUACUGUAAAUUGUUUUUCUCUAGAGUCAAAGCCAGGUUUGAGCCCUGGCACUCUUGUUUAAUAUGCUGGCCAUGGGACCCGGAGCUCUCCAGAGUGGUAGACUUGGGAGUGGUGCAAUAGCUGUUCACAGCUGGGAGAACAGAGGCUCAAGGUGAUGUUACAGCCUUUCGAUUAUGAUCCCAAUGAGAAAAGUAAACACAAGUUUAUGGUUCAGUCUAUGUUUGCUCCAACUGACACUUCAGAUAUGGAAGCAGUAUGGAAGGAGGCAAAACCGGAAGACCUUAUGGAUUCAAAACUUAGAUGUGUGUUUGAAUUGCCAGCAGAGAAUGAUAAACCACAUGAUGUAGAAAUAAAUAAAAUUAUAUCCACAACUGCAUCAAAGACAGAAACACCAAUAGUGUCUAAGUCUCUGAGUUCUUCUUUGGAUGACACUGAAGUUAAGAAGGUUAUGGAAGAAUGUAAGAGGCUGCAAGGUGAAGUUCAGAGGCUACGGGAGGAGAACAAGCAGUUCAAGGAAGAAGAUGGACUGCGGAUGAGGAAGACAGUGCAGAGCAACAGCCCCAUUUCAGCAUUAGCCCCAACUGGGAAGGAAGAAGGCCUUAGCACCCGGCUCUUGGCUCUGGUGGUUUUGUUCUUUAUCGUUGGUGUAAUUAUUGGGAAGAUUGCCUUGUAGAGGUAGCAUGCACAGGAUGGUAAAUUGGAUUGGUGGAUCCACCAUAUCAUGGGAUUUAAAUUUAUCAUAACCAUGUGUAAAAAGAAAUUAAUGUAUGAUGACAUCUCACAGGUCUUGCCUUUAAAUUACCCCUCCCUGCACACACAUACACAGAUACACACACACAAAUAUAAUGUAACGAUCUUUUAGAAAGUUAAAAAUGUAUAGUAACUGAUUGAGGGGGAAAAGAAUGAUCUUUAUUAAUGACAAGGGAAACCAUGAGUAAUGCCACAAUGGCAUAUUGUAAAUGUCAUUUUAAACAUUGGUAGGCCUUGGUACAUGAUGCUGGAUUACCUCUCUUAAAAUGACACCCUUCCUUGCCUGUUGGUGCUGGCCCUUGGGGAGCUGGAGCCCAGCAUGGUGGGGAGUGCGGUCAGCUCCACACAGUAGUCCCCACGUGGCCCACUCCCGGCCCAGGCUGCUUUCCGUGUCUUCAGUUCUGUCCAAGCCAUCAGCUCCUUGGGACUGAUGAACAGAGUCAGAAGCCCAAAGGAAUUGCACUGUGGCAGCAUCAGACAUACUCGUCAUAAGUGAGAGGCGUGUGUUGACUGAUUGACCCAGCGCUUUGGAAAUAAAUGGCAGUGCUUUGUUCACUUAAAGGGACCAAGCUAAAUUUGUAUUGGUUCAUGUAGUGAAGUCAAACUGUUAUUCAGAGAUGUUUAAUGCAUAUUUAACUUAUUUAAUGUAUUUCAUCUCAUGUUUUCUUAUUGUCACAAGAGUACAGUUAAUGCUGCGUGCUGCCGAACUCUGUUGGGUGAACUGGUAUUGCUGCUGGAGGGCUGUGGGCUCCUCUGUCUCUGGAGAGUCUGGUCAUGUGGAGGUGGGGUUUAUUGGGAUGUUGGAGAAGAGCUGCCAGGAAGUGUUUUUUCUGGGUCAGUAAAUAACAACUGUCAUAGGGAGGGAAAUUCUCAGUAGUGACAGUCAACUCUAGGUUACCUUUUUUAAUGAAGAGUAGUCAGUCUUCUAGAUUGUUCUUAUACCACCUCUCAACCAUUACUCACACUUCCAGUACCCAGGCCCAAGUCUGAGCCUGACCUCCCCUUGGGGACCUAGCCUGGAGUCAGGACAAAUGGAUCGGGCUGCAGAGGGUUAGAAGCGAGGGCACCAGCAGUUGUGGGUGGGGAGCAAGGGAAGAGAGAAACUCUUCAGCGAAUCCUUCUAGUACUAGUUGAGAGUUUGACUGUGAAUUAAUUUUAUGCCAUAAAAGACCAACCCAGUUCUGUUUGACUAUGUAGCAUCUUGAAAAGAAAAAUUAUAAUAAAGCCCCAAAAUUAAGAA